GAUGAACGCUAGCGGCAGGCCUAACACAUGCAAGUCGAACGGUAACAUGAGUAGCAAUACUUGAUGACGAGUGGCGCACGGGUGCGUAACGCGUAUGCAACUUACCUCUAACUGGAGAAUAGCCUUCCGAAAGGAAGAAUAAUACUCCAUAAUAUUACGAUGUGGCAUCACAUUGUUCUUAAAGCUUCGGCGGUUAGAGAUGGGCAUGCGUCUGAUUAGCUUGUUGGUGAGGUAACGGCUCACCAAGGCAACGAUCAGUAGGGGGCCUGAGAGGGUUAUCCCCCACACUGGUACUGAGACACGGACCAGACUCCUACGGGAGGCAGCAGUAAGGAAUAUUGGUCAAUGGAGGAAACUCUGAACCAGCCAUCCCGCGUGCAGGAAGAAUGCCCUAUGGGUUGUAAACUGCUUUUAUCUUGGGAAGAAAAGCCGGCAUUUAUGUUGGUCUGACGGUACCAGAGGAAUAAGCACCGGCUAACUCCGUGCCAG
Molecule: ribosomal RNA, 489 nt
Filed under: uncultured bacterium
Lineage: Bacteria
Description: bacterial SSU rRNA
Rfam family: Bacterial small subunit ribosomal RNA
Source: RNAcentral